GAUGAAGAACGUAGCGAAAUGCGAUACGUAAUGUGAAUUGCAGAAUUCAGUGAAUCAUCGAGUCUUUGAACGCACAUUGCGCCCCCUGGUAUUCCGGGGGGCAUGCCUGUCCGAGCGUCAUUGCUGCCCUCAAGCACGGCUUGUGUGUUGGGCCUCCGUCCUCCUCCCGGGGGACGGGCCCGAAAGGCAGCGGCGGCACCGCGUCCGGUCCUCGAGCGUAUGGGGCUUCGUCACCCGCUCUUGUAGGCCCGGCCGGCGCUUGCCGACACAUCAAUCUUUUUUCCACGUUGACCUCGGAUCAGGUAGGGAUACCCGCUGAACUUAAGCAUAUCAAUAAGCGGAGGA
This 345-nucleotide unclassified non-coding RNA is filed under the name soil metagenome. Its description in RNAcentral is "partial contains 5.8S ribosomal RNA, internal transcribed spacer 2, and large subunit ribosomal RNA". The stretch from base 1 to 120 matches the Rfam family "5.8S ribosomal RNA", at positions 35 to 154 of the family's 154-position model. The record is from RNAcentral.